Esox lucius (northern pike) is the source of this 557-nucleotide long non-coding RNA. The record is from Ensembl. NCBI's taxonomy places the organism in Eukaryota, Metazoa, Chordata, Actinopteri, Esociformes, Esocidae.
GUUCUGACAUACCCGGACCGCCUAUUGAGAUUGCCUUUGUUAUGUCAGACUGGCGUUAAACGAGAUGAGUGCCACUUGAUCUUGUUCUCCUGUUGCUUGUGCUACACAGCUCGGGAGCAGGUAACAGGUCCGUCUGUAUUCCCCCAAAACUGAGAAAUCGUUGGACAGCCUACCACGGCUGGACUCGCACCCUGUUAGCCUACAUUCAGCUAGGUGACUCAACCCGCUUCAUCGUGAUCUUGACCAUUCUACGGCGGCCUAUUACUUCAGUUAACAGACUGCUGAAAACACGCAUCGUGGCUGUAUCUAUUGGGACCAGGCUGCGAUGCUCACAGCCGCAUACUGUAGGUUGUUAUGCAGGUGUGUGAUGUUGGUCCAGAGUCCAGAGGAAGGCCGGGCCGAGCCACAGCUCCACAGACUCCGGGGCGACCCGCUGCUAGAUUACUGAGGGAUUACAUGGACACCCAUUAACCUAAUGCCACCAGCCCGCGACUGAGUGGGAAGCCUGGCUGCGCCGACCAGCGGGGGAGUUGCUAUGGGAGAAGAGGGAUCCUCCA